UACGAAGGGGGCGAGCGUUGUUCGGAAUUACUGGGCGUAAAGGGCGCGUAGGCGGUCCUCCAAGUCAGGCGUGAAAGCCCCGGGCUCAACCUGGGAACCGCGCUUGAGACUGGCGGACUCGAGUUCGGGAGAGGAUGGUGGAAUUCCCAGUGUAGAGGUGAAAUUCGUAGAUAUUGGGAAGAACACCGAUGGCGAAGGCAGCCAUCUGGACCGACACUGACGCUGAGGCGCGAAAGCGUGGGGAGCAAACAGG
RNAcentral lists this ribosomal RNA (253 nucleotides) under uncultured bacterium. RNAcentral describes it as "partial 16S ribosomal RNA". It matches the Rfam family "Bacterial small subunit ribosomal RNA", at positions 524 to 776 of the family's 1533-position model. The record is from RNAcentral.